Molecule: long non-coding RNA, 497 nt
Organism: Thunnus maccoyii (southern bluefin tuna)
Lineage: Eukaryota; Metazoa; Chordata; Actinopteri; Scombriformes; Scombridae
Exons: 3
Source: RefSeq, a predicted model, not a curated record
ACCAAAAAUUAUUAAAACUCAAGCCAAAUAUGUUUGAUACCAGAAGUUAGAUGAAUUGAUUGAUAUCGUUUUCACUGGAAGUAGUUAGCCUAGCUCUGUCUAGUCCUUUCUUGACGUGUUUUAUCUUUUGUAUUUACUAAAUGUAGAAAUAGACAACAAGACAUUGUGGUUUGAAGAGCAGUAGCCUGCAAACAACAGCUGUGUUACUGACCAACAACAGCUGUGAAUCUGUACACAGCAUCUCUGAAGUCCACCAGUACCCCGCUCAUGAGGAGGCCGCGCCAGUCUAUGAGUAGCAUUCAUCUGUGCGCCAUAUGUGAUUAUAUCAAAAUUAAGAACAAAAUACCCCUCUUCACGUUAGACCAAUGUUGUUUUCUCAAGGCCCCCAGGUCUGAGGGCUUAACAUUACAUCAGCACAUGAAAGUGAAGGAUGAAAAAGUGCCUUGUAGCUUGGACUUGAGUGGACUCCCUCCAGGAUUAGCCAGGAAACCACAGGA